RNAcentral lists this ribosomal RNA (529 nucleotides) under uncultured bacterium. RNAcentral describes it as "partial 16S ribosomal RNA". It matches the Rfam family "Bacterial small subunit ribosomal RNA", at positions 355 to 899 of the family's 1533-position model. The record is from RNAcentral.
UGGGGAAUAUUGCACAAUGGGCGAAAGCCUGAUGCAGCAACGCCGCGUGAGUGAUGAAGGCCUUCGGGUUGUAAAGCUCUGUCUUUUGGGACGAUAAUGACGGUACCAAAGGAGGAAGCCACGGCUAACUACGUGCCAGCAGCCGCGGUAAUACGUAGGUGGCAAGCGUUGUCCGGAUUUACUGGGCGUAAAGGAUGCGUAGGCGGAUUUUUAAGCGAGAUGUGAAAUACCCGGGCUUAACUUGGGUGCUGCAUUUCAAACUGGGAAUCUAGAGUGCGGGAGAGGAGAAUGGAAUUCCUAGUGUAGCGGUGAAAGUGCGUAGAGAUUAGGAAGAACACCAGUGGCGAAGGCGAUUCUCUGGACCGUAACUGACGCUGAGGCAUGAAAGCGUGGGUAGCAAACAGGAUUAGAUACCCUGGUAGUCCACGCCGUAAACGAUGAGUACUAGGUGUAGGAGGUAUCGACCCCUUCUGUGCCGCAGUUAACACAAUAAGUACUCCGCCUGGGAAGUACGAUCGCAAGAUUAAAA